GUGUUGUAUGAAAACAGCAUUUCCCUUAGGAUGGAAGGGGUCCUAGUGGCCUUACAACACACACAUGGUUGGCAUCUAACCAUGUAAAGCUGCACAAUACUAAGGUUCCAAGCACAGAAUUGU
Small nuclear RNA from Amblyraja radiata (thorny skate), 123 nucleotides. The record is from RefSeq and is a predicted model, not a curated record. NCBI's taxonomy places the organism in Eukaryota, Metazoa, Chordata, Chondrichthyes, Rajiformes, Rajidae.